GGCUCGUCCGAGUGCAGUGGUGUUUGCAAAUAAUUGAUCACAGCCAAGAUUCCUGUUGUAAAUGGUUCCUGUGUUCUUUCUCCACUCUCACUGUUUCACUUGAGUAGCCUAAA
Unclassified non-coding RNA from Propithecus coquereli (Coquerel's sifaka), 113 nucleotides. It matches the Rfam family "Y RNA". From Rfam's summary of the family: Y RNAs are components of the Ro ribonucleoprotein particle (Ro RNP), in association with Ro60 and La proteins. The Y RNAs and Ro60 and La proteins are well conserved, but the function of the Ro RNP is not known. The record is from Ensembl. Lineage: Eukaryota; Metazoa; Chordata; Mammalia; Primates; Indriidae.